UUGGGCCUACGGGGCGCAGCAGUGAGGAAUAUUGGUCAAUGGGCGGAAGCCUGAACCAGCCAAGUCGCGUGAGGGAAGAAGGCCCUGCGGGUCGCAGACCUCUUUGGACGGGGAGCAAGGCCGCCGACGUGUCGGCGGAAGGAGAGUACCCGUAGAACAAGCAUCGGCUAACUCCGUGCCAGCAGCCGCGGUAAUACGGAGGAUGCGAGCGUUAUCCGGAGUUAUUGGGUUUAAAGGGUGCGCAGGCGGCACGGCAAGCCGGCGGUCAAAUCGCGGGGGUCCACCCCGCCCCGACGUCG
RNAcentral lists this ribosomal RNA (299 nucleotides) under uncultured bacterium. RNAcentral's name for it is "partial 16S ribosomal RNA". It matches the Rfam family "Bacterial small subunit ribosomal RNA", at positions 333 to 629 of the family's 1533-position model. The record is from RNAcentral.